UGGGGAAUAUUGGACAAUGGGGGCAACCCUGAUCCAGCCAUGCCGCGUGUGUGAAGAAGGCCCUAGGGUUGUAAAGCACUUUCAGUGGGGAAGAAAAGCUCGAGGAUAAUACCCUCGGGUUAUGACGGUACCUACAGAAGAAGCACCGGCUAAUUCCGUGCCAGCAGCCGCGGUAAUACGGAAGGUGCAAGCGUUAAUCGGAAUUACUGGGCGUAAAGCGCGCGUAGGCGGCUGGAUAAGUCGGGUGUGAAAGCCCCGGGCUCAACCUGGGAACUGCAUUCGAUACUGUCCGGCUAGAGUGUGAUAGAGGGAGGCGGAAUUCCGCAUGUAGCGGUGAAAUGCGUAGAGAUGCGGAGGAACACCAAUGGCGAAGGCAGCCUCCUGGAUCAACACUGACGCUGAGGUGCGAAAGCGUGGGGAGCAAACAGGAUUAGAUACCCCCGUAGUCC
Molecule: ribosomal RNA, 449 nt
Filed under: uncultured prokaryote
Description: bacterial SSU rRNA
Rfam family: Bacterial small subunit ribosomal RNA
Source: RNAcentral